RNAcentral lists this ribosomal RNA (465 nucleotides) under uncultured bacterium. RNAcentral describes it as "partial 16S ribosomal RNA". It matches the Rfam family "Bacterial small subunit ribosomal RNA", at positions 338 to 795 of the family's 1533-position model. The record is from RNAcentral.
CCUACGGGUGGCAGCAGUGGGGAAUAUUCCGCAAUGGGCGAAAGCCUGACGCAGCGACGCCGCGUGAGUGAUGAAGGUCUUCGGAUCGUAAACCUCUGUCAGCAGGGAAGAACGGUCACUGGGCUAAUCAGUAGUGAAUUGACGGUACCUGCAAAGAAAGCACCGGCUAACUCCGUGCCAGCAGCCGCGGUAAUACGGAGGGGGCGAGCGUUAACCGGAUUUACUGGGCGUAAAGCGCUCGUAGGCGGUAUGUCAAGUCAGGGGUGAAAUCCCCGGGCUCAACGUGGGAACUGCCUUUGAAACUGGCAAACUGGAGUGUGUGAGAGGAUAGUGGAAUUCCAGGUGUAGGAGUGAAAUCCGUAGAUAUCUGGAGGAACAUCAGUGGCGAAGGCGACUAUCUGGCACAUAACUGACGCUGAGGUGCGAAAGCGUGGGUAGCAAACAGGAUUAGAUACCCGGGUAGUC